UUCAGCAAACAUUCAACAUUUAUAAAAAAUAAAAUCAACAUCAACAUCUUACUUUCUCCUAAACUUAAGCAAUAUGCAAAAUAACUAACUCUUAAAAAACUGAAAUAAACGUGGACAUGUUUCAAUCCUGAAGCAGUUUCUUAACACUCCUACUUGCUUUAGGAGUUGCAAAUACCAAGUCUUGACCUCGGAAGCUCAAACUUGCUAGCAAGUAAUGAUUUGGUUAAAAUGUCCGCAAUUUAAUUUUCUGUUUUGCAAAAGACAAGGAUCACAUCUCAAUGCUUCAGUUCUUCCCUUAGAAAGAAUAGCUUGAUAUUAAAGUGUUUAGUCUUCCCAUGAAACACGAGAUUAUGAGAGAUAGCAAUAGCAGCUUGGUUGUCAACAAAAAUCUUUGUGCUUUCCUUCUGCUCCAGACCAAGAUCAAGUAAAAUUUUCCUCAGCCAUAAAGCUUGAUUACCAGUAGCUGUGGCAGUAAUAAACUCUGCUUCGGCAGUGGAUUGGGCUACAGUUUCUUGGUUUUUCGAGUUCCAUGAGAAAACACCAGAGCCAAAAGUAAAACAGUAACCUGAAGUGCUCCUUGUACAAGCCCAAAUUUACCCAGGGCCCAAUACCCAUUACAACCAAACCAGGCCCAAAAUAAAAAUAAACCCUAGCCCAACAACCUAAAAAAUUUUCAGCCAAAGGGAAACCCUAAAGUGCCGCCGCUCUUCUGACCUCUGGCAGCCACCGACUCCGCCACCGUAUGGUCUCCUCACCUACCAUCUGCCGCCACCUGCUUUACCAGGACCUGCAAACACGCAACAAAGAGAAGCAGAAGCAGAAGCAGAGGGAAACAAGUCCAGAAUAGCAAAAAAAUUUAGAUUUUCUUCCGGCUAUAAAACCGAUUUGCAAAAACGAAACGGGGAGAUUUUUCUUUUAGGUUUUUUCUUCCUUUCUUUCUUUCCGCUAAAGCCGAAUUUGCUGUAAUAGGGGGGGGACAAAAAAUCAAAAACAAAAAAGAGAGAAUGAAAUAAAAACAAAGAUAAAGGUUUUAGUUUCCAAAACUUUUUUGUUCAUUUUUUUAUUUUUAUUUUUAUUUUUGUUUUGUUCAAAAUAUAUAUGUAUAUACGCAUAUGCAGCAAAAAAAGAAAAAGAAAAAAUACCUUUUUUUGAAUUUCCGGCAACCGUGCACGGUGGCCGGCGUGACGGCGGCCACGGUGGUCAUCGGCCGGGAUCCACGCCGGAGGAGGAGAGCCUGAGAGAGAAUGAAAUAUUUUUUCUAUUUUUUUUCUGGAAGAGGGAAGGGAAAUGAGGAUUUUCACAAAAAAAUACCUUUAUACUAGUAUUGAAACGGCGUCGUUUCAUUCAGAGACUUUAGGCGCCAAACGGCGCCAUUUUGCGCGACCCGAGCGUGACCCGACCCAUUACCAGGAGGAUCCGCGUGAUUUGUGAAUAGGGUAUAAUUACUAUUCUAGUCCUUCCGAUUUUCAUUACAUUUUCAAUUAAGUACUCUUUGAUUUUUCAAUUUCGCCCCGAUAUUUGUCGCGCUCUCAAUUUAGUCCUCACUAGGACGACGCCAUUUUGGAGGGUGAGGGAUUAUUUCCCAUUUAGUCCCUCCUCAUUAUCGGCGAGUUCAGUUUGGUCCUUUCUCUUUUAUUUAUUUGCGAUUUGACCCCGAAUGUUAUUUUUUAACUUCAAUGUAGCCCUCUGAUUGUAUUUUGGUUAUUUCAUUAUUAAAACUAAUAUAUUAUUAUUAUUAUUAUUAUUAGUAUUAUUAUCUAUAUUAUUGUUAUUAUUGUUAUAUUUCUAUUUAUACCUAUUUAUGUAAAUUUUAAAUAUAUUUAUCUUAUUAUAUUAUUAUUAUUUUAAGUACUUAUAUAUAUAUACGCAUAUAUAUAUUUUUUUAAACUUGAAAUUAUUUUGUUAUUCCAUUAGUAACAUUAAUAGUAGUAUUAUUAUCCUUAUUUAUAUUCUUUACCUCAAAUUUUGCUACAUACAUAUAUACAUAUAUACAUACAUAUCUUUGAUUUAUAUAUAUAUACUUAUUUAUAUUUUUUAUAUAUUUUAUAAUUUAUAUAUACAUAUAUUUAUAUCUAUAUACAUAUUUUCUAAAUUUUUAUAAGUAUAUAUAUAUAUUUAUAUGUACGUACUUAUAUAUUUUUUAUACUUUCUAAUUUGCAUAUACAUAUUUACAUCCAUAUUUUUUAAUUUAAUUUAAACAUAUAUAAAUUAUCAUCAUUUACUUGUUUAUAUAUCUUUUAAACUUUGAUGCAUACUUACGUAUAUUUUUAUAUUGUAUAAAUUUUUUUAAUAUAAAUAUACAUAUUUUUAUUUUCAUGAAUACAUACAUAUACUUAUAUGUUUUUUUUUUAUAUUUUCAUAUGAUUUAUAUAUAUACCUACAUAUUUUUAGAUAUAUACAUACUCAUGUUUUUCACGCUGUAUAAUUUAUGUAUGUACAUAGAUAUGCAUAUUCAUUUUUAUAUAAACAUAUAUACAUUUGCACAUUUUAUAAUUUAUAACUUAAAUAUAUUGAUAUACAUACAUAUAUCUUUUAUCUUUUAUUAUUUGUUAUUGUCGUUCUAUUUGACAUUUACUUAUUCAUUUAUUUAUGUGUUGGUCAUUAUUUUUAGGAAAUGCUUUAUUUCCUUUUUUUAUUUACUUAUUAUUUCAUAUAUACUUGAUUUUUUUUUUAUUGUUGCUCAUAUUAGUUAUGCUUGUAUUAUCAUGUCCAUUAUCAUUUUGUUACACAUAUUAAUAUUGUGUUCAUUCCUACCUGUUUAUGUUAAAUUAAUUUUAUUUAAUGUAAAUCAAGGCUUCAAAAUAAGUAGAAUUUCGUGUUUAGAUUCGAGAGGAUUGAGCCCUAACGUAUUGGGUUCCAAUUUUCUUCGUUGAAUCUAAAUAAUCGAGACUACUCUUUAUAAAAACAUAAAUAAAAAGCUCAUUAUCGAGAGUUCAAUAUUUUGUGUCCUAACGCAUUGGAUAUAAUACGUUGUUUUCCUGAGAUGAGGAUUUUACUAUUGUUCAACUAAAAGACCACAUUUGGGGAUUUUUUAAAGUAUAGGAACACAUUAGUAUUAUUUGUUUUAGUACGUCUUCUUCGUUUGGUUUUAUGUGCAAUCUAUUUGUCUUAAUUCCAUAUACAUAGAGAGAGAGGAGGCAUCCUCUUCUAUAGGUGGUUUUAAAUAUUUUUAUAUUUUUUUACAAUUAGUAUUUUAUUUUAAUAAUAUGAUCAUCAAAUUUUAUGUUUCAUUUAUAUGUGUUAAAUUUGGAAAAAAAAUAUUUUUUUAUUAUUUAUAGAAAUAUAGACAAUAUUUUAAAUUGAUAAUCAAAAUAUUUGAUCAAUUCAAAAUUUUACAUACAUUACAGUACCAAACAAACUUUAACCAUUACUUUAAACCUCUAAACCUUAAAUCCUAAAAUUAAAAUUAUAUACCCAUGAACUAAGUUAAUUAAUAGUCAUAGUAAUUGAUUUCAUAGAUAUGUAUAGUUUAAAAAAAUAAUUUAUUUAUUAUAUUAUUAAUCAAGGUUUUCGUAUAUAGCUAAUGAUACUCACAAAUUUUGACUACUAAUUUAUUAAGAAUUAAUCAAAUUGAAGCUAUACCUUUAUUUAUUAAAAUCGAAAUACUUGCAAGAUUGAAAUCUCAAUUUGUAUCAAUUAAAUAAAUUGUUAGAAUUCCCAAAAUGAUACAUUUUUCUUGCCGACUAUUAAGUAGCCUUUUUCCAAUUUUUAUUAUACAAUAUAGUUUCAAACUCACACGUACACCCUACACACGACUACGCUACCACACAAGUAAACCUAUGAAUUAAAUCUUGGUCAUGAGUACAAGUGAACACCCUUUCGGCCAAUGGCCUCUUAUGAUAUUUACCUCCAUUAGAAUAAUUCGUUUUCCUUUUAUUUUGUUAUAAAUCUCUAUUCUAAUUAUUAUUAUUUAUUUUUUUUACUAUAGUUGAAAAUGAAAUAAAAUGCACAAUUUUAAACUAAUGUAUAUAUCUCUCGCAUUUUUUCCUCUCAUCUUUCUAGAUUGAAAAUAUUGAUUUUUAUGCUUUAAGAUGGAAAAUGGUUAUCUCUCCUGUUUUUUUUCCUCUAACUUUUCUUCUCAAUCGAACACACUCAAAAUUUAUUUUUUAUUUACUUUUUUACUAUCCUCCUAUCUUUUUAUUUUUCACCCAACUAAUAACACCCUAAACUCUCUUCGGAAGUGUAAAUACCUGCAUAUGUUGGUAAUUUAUUUUUUAACUCCAAUAAGAAGUGUUUAUAAAUUAAAGACGCGCUUUCUUAAAAUUCAAAUUGUGUCAUUUAUUUGUUUAUUUCAAGUGAUUCAUUAUAUCAAUUUAUUAUAAAAGGAUAAACAACUAUGAUAAGUACAAAGAUCAUAAUCGAUUUUAUCAAAUUUUUGCCCCCAAAGUGCAGUUUAUUGAGGGUAGCUUCUAGCUUCUUUUUUUUCUUUUUUUUUAAGUGAAUGCAGCUUCUAGCUACUUAAAACACACUUAUUUAAGAAUCAUUAAUUGUUUCUCUCUCGAGAUACUCCUUGGAAGCUUGUGUAGCAGCUUCUAUUGGGAGGGUAGGCUUUGGAUCUUUAGCUUCAAAUUCUUUCUUGACAGCAUACGAAAUGAUAGAUUUUAUGAUGCAUGAGUUUUGGGAUUUCUCUUUUAUAUCAAAUUCAACGAUUAGAACUGAGCAACCAAAUGCUAGACAAUCACCUUCCAAGGCUUUUGCCGCUUUCACCCUUUUUUUGGUCAUCAAUCACAAUGAACUCCUCUGUAUAACUUGAAUUCCCUGCUUCAUCUUCAACAUUAGCCCAAACCAUUCGAAAACCAAGAGUACUGAUCAAAGGAAAAAUUGAAUUUCGAAGGAUAUUUAAUCAUCUCAAAGCAAUAAAAACAAGAGUGUUGUCAAAGAAAAACUUGAUUUUAUAGAGUAUUUAAAAUCAGCUCAAGCACAAGAAAAAACAGGAAUAUUGAUAAAAGAAAAGCUUGGUUUUAAACAGUAUGCAUCACCACCAAGAUUUGUUUAAAAUAGGGAUUAAAGCCUCCGUCAGGCAACAAAGUGUCCAUGACUUCAAACUAUUAAAAAACUUGAUGUUAAAAGGGUAUUUUAUAGAGGUUUAAGUACCUGGAACGAAAGUGGUUUUGGCAACAGUUCCGAUCCCACCAUCACCUUUCAAAACCUGAGUGCUCUGGACAUUUGGAAGCUUAGGAACAAUAAUAUUUAUGAGGCCAAGGUUCCUAUAAAGUUCCCAAGCUUCAUAUGCAGGCGCAUCCACUUCAAGCUCCUUCGUAAUAUGCUUCAAUUCCCGAGAAUUAACCCCAACGUAGCAAGCAAACAGAACAAAGAAAACCAAUGAGAAUUGCUUCAGCAUUUUUUUUUCUUUGGAAUUUUGCUAGCUUUAAACCUUGGAAUGAUUCUCUGGUUUCUCUAUUUCUGCAAUUUUCAGGGUUUAUAUAGAGCAUAGAAAUAGGUUAAUACGUUCACUGAAUGAUAUAUUUAAAAAUAUCUAAUCUAUAAAUCUAUAAUAUAUGGCUACCAAUAAAUCAAGGAUUGGACAACGUUGCUUGUCUUUUAAAAAUAUCUGUAAGAAUUUGAAGAAAACAAAAAACAAAAAUAAUGGAUGAAGGUAACUUACCUUUUUAUUCAGCAAACAUUCAACAUUUUAUAAAAAUAAAAUCAACGUCAACAUCUUACUUUCUCCUAAACUUAAGCAAUAUGCAAAAUAACUAACUCUUAAAAAACUGAAAUAAACGUGGACAUGUUUCAAUCCUGAAGCAGUUUCUUAACACUCCUACUUGCUUUAGGAGUUGCAAAUACCAAGUCUUGACCUCAGAAGCUCAAACUUGCUAGCAAGUAAUGAUUUGGUUAAAAUGUCCGCAAUUUAAUUUUCUGUUUUGCAAAAGACAAGGAUCACAUCUCAAUGCUUCAGUUCUUCCCUUAGAAAGAAUAGCUUGAUAUUAAAGUGUUUAGUCUUCCCAUGAAACACGGGAUUAUGAGAGAUAGCAAUAGCAGCUUGGUUGUCAACAAAAAUCUUUGUGCUUUCCUUCUGCUCCAGAUCAAGAUCAAGUAAAAUUUUCCUCAGCCAUAAAGCUUGAUUACCAGUAGCUGUGGCAGUAAUAAACUCUGCUUCGGCAGUGGAUUGGGCUACAGUUUCUUGGUUUUUCGAGCUCCAUGAGAAAACACCAGAGCCAAAAGUAAAACAGUAACCUGAAGUGCUC
RNAcentral lists this long non-coding RNA (6188 nucleotides) under Gossypium raimondii (Peruvian cotton). RNAcentral's name for it is "long non-coding RNA (GRAI_LNC007834)". Lineage: Eukaryota; Viridiplantae; Streptophyta; Magnoliopsida; Malvales; Malvaceae. The record is from RNAcentral.